GGCGAGAUGGCUAUCCAAGCGAUCCAGAACUCAUAUACCUCACUGAUGGUGCUAGUAAAGGUGUUAUGCAGAUAUUGAAUACUAUUAUCCGCGGUGCAGGGGAUGGGAUUCUGGUCCCGGUUCCACAAUACCCUCUAUACUCGGCCGCAAUUGCACUGUUUGGGGGUUCCCUUGUUCCGUAUUACCUAGAAGAGACUGCAAAUUGGGGUCUAGAUGUUAAUGACCUUCGCCAAUCAGUUGCUCAGGCUCGCUCCAAAGGAAU
RNAcentral lists this unclassified non-coding RNA (262 nucleotides) under Hevea brasiliensis (rubber tree). The record is from RNAcentral. Lineage: Eukaryota; Viridiplantae; Streptophyta; Magnoliopsida; Malpighiales; Euphorbiaceae.